Molecule: long non-coding RNA, 544 nt
Organism: Syngnathoides biaculeatus (alligator pipefish)
Lineage: Eukaryota; Metazoa; Chordata; Actinopteri; Syngnathiformes; Syngnathidae
Exons: 4
Source: RefSeq, a predicted model, not a curated record
UCCGCCUGUUCUCCGACCGAGUCCGUAAGCCUGAUGCCUUUGAUACUCCUGCCUGCUCUGAUCGAUCUCCCGUGAAAGAUCCGGGGUCGCUGGGACCGACGCAUGGUAGACUGCCGGAGGACCAAGCCUGUUCUAUCUGGGUGGCUGGGGGGCAAGAUCGGAGCAGAAAAGAAUGGAGACUUGAAUGGAGAUAUUCACAUUGAGAUCUUAGUCAUUGGAAACAUAUUCAUCAUUUCUUUCCAUCCAUCCAUCCAUCCAUUUUACGCAUGUGGUAUUAAAUCACAUGCCAGUCACAAGCAAGUCUGAAGUUGCAUCCUCCAAAUCCCAGCAAUCAGUCAGCUGCACAGAGGCCUCGCCACCUCAUGCUGCUCCUCGGAGCAUGGAAGGCAAAGACCGAAGAGGGAAUGAGGCGAUGGUGGUAGUGGUGGGGCACAAAAAGGCCUCGAGAGCACAUCAAUAUCAAUGGAAGAAAGAUGGAACGAAGGAGAGAGCAAAGAGAUGAGAAGGACAGAGAAGUCUGAAAUAUUAAAACUCUAAAACAAAG